UAGCAUCUAUGUCCAAAAUCUCUAACAUGAAACCUUAAGAGAACUCCUGUUGGUGCCUGAGGAGUUGAGUCCUCUUGGUAAUAAUAACUGCCUGAAUGAAAUCCGCCUUUGGAUGGAGAAAGAAUACCCCAUAUUGGAAAGUAAUUAUAGCUUUUAUACUUGUGUGUGUGUGUGUGUGUGUGUGUGUGUGUGUGUGUGUAUGUGUAUGUGCUUUCACAGCUUUUUGGAGACUACAGCCUAUUUCUUCAUGAGACCAAAAAUUGGAGAGAAGGAAGUGUCCCCAAAUGUUUUCUUCGGUAUCUGGCAUGAAUUCAGCUCUGACUUUAAAGACUUUUGGAAGAAAGAGAACAAACUUAUUCUACAAGAAAGAGUAAAAGAAGCUGAAGAGGUGUGCAGACAGAAGAAGGGAAAGUCGCUCUAUAAAAUAAAACCAAGACAUGACUCUGGAAUUAAAGCAAAAAUAAGCAUGAAAACCUGACCAAUGAAAAGCAGAACAAAAAUGAGUCACUGAAGCCACUUCCACAGAAUUCAGCCGGCCCGAGGGCAGGAAGGAAACUCAUCAUUUUGAUCAUGUUUCUUCUUGGCCUCUUGCAUAAUCUUUAUGUUUUCCAGACAGUUUACUGAUUGUUGAAUUCUACACUGUAUUCAUAUAAAAAUGCAAAAGCAGUAGGCCAGUGGAGAAUGUGACACCUUUUCUUUUUGAAAAAGUUUAUGGUAUUUUACCAAUAGACCAAAACAGCAUGUGUAAGAGGCAGUAUCUGCAUUAAUUCUGAACAUGCUAAACAGUAACCUCCAACUUACUGUUGUGAGAAUAUUCCCUGUCGCAGCGAAACACUCUCCUGACGACCAGUACUCCACCUCACUGCAUUUAGAUUUAUGGUUAACAUGUUAUUUCUAGUGACUUGUUUGUAUCAGUUUCACAUCUACAUAAAAAAUUUUCUAUUUUAAAAUUGAGGUACCAUUUAUAUAUGUCAUAGAUAAGGCUUUCCCAGCUCUAGGGUUGGUCUCUGUAACUAUAUAUUUGUGAAAGAAGAUUAUCAUUUUUUUUUAUUCAUCAGACAAUGAAUAGAAAAAAAUAUAGCAAAAGGAAAACCCUUUCUAUACAUCAUUUAAUAUAGGCAGGAAUCAUAAUUUUAAGGUAAAUGAGGGCCUUUAUCAACCAUGUCCUUUAGGACCUACAUAAAGCCAGUCUGCAGCAAAGGUUAAUUAAACCAAAGUUGUGCCUCUCUGACUUUUACCAUUGCCCUUCUCAAAGAAAAUGACACAGUGCUUUUAAAUGAUCCUCAUAAAAUUUCCAAACCUGACAGCUGUUGGCAAAAAAAAAAAAAAAAAAAGUAACUUUUAGAUGGAUUGAUAUCUACCUAGGACUUGUUCAUUAAAUCCACCUGCCUGAGUAUUGUGACUUGAUUGGGGUUUUCUUUAUGUGUUUGGGCAGUUAAUCAAAAGCUAUGAAAUGAGUAUGCAAGAGUUUAUGAUCUAAAGGAGCCUAGGAAAAGAUUUUAUUUUAGUUUGAGAGGGAAAAAGUAUAUCUCCACUCUUUCUCAGAGUAUUUUAAAGUCACUCCUGAAGCAUUGUGAUGGCUUUGUCUAACAUUAAUAGAUUUUUAAAAAUGAUACGUGUUGGGGUAUGAAUAAAGGGGAGACUGUUGCUAUUGCAAACCAGUUAUGGAAGCAACUUAAAAAGAAAAUCUGAAUUGUAACUAUGUUUCUAUUUAUGUAAAAUACUGUCCUGACCUUUCAGUCUGUAGUUGAUGUGCACAGACACAGUAGUAGCUCUCGGGUUGCUGUUCUGCCAUCUUCCUGUCUCCUUCAGUCCCUCCAUGUGUAUAUGAACUUCAAUGAUAUAAUGGGGCAUUUAACAGAGAUUGCUAUGUGCAAUACUGUAUUUAGUGUUUCUAUUUUAAUUUUUCUAGGAUGUUAAUUUAUAUGAAAAUAAAAUGCAUAAUAAAAGA
Non-coding RNA from Odocoileus virginianus texanus, 1951 nucleotides. The record is from RefSeq and is a predicted model, not a curated record. Lineage: Eukaryota; Metazoa; Chordata; Mammalia; Artiodactyla; Cervidae.